Molecule: ribosomal RNA, 253 nt
Filed under: uncultured bacterium
Lineage: Bacteria
Description: partial 16S ribosomal RNA
Rfam family: Bacterial small subunit ribosomal RNA
Source: RNAcentral
UACGUAGGGGGCGAGCGUUAUCCGGAGUUACUGGGCGUAAAGCGCACGCAGGCGGUCGGGUAAGUUUGGGGUGACAGCUCCCGGCUCAACUGGGAGAGGACCUUGAAGACUGCAGGACUCGAGGGCCAGAGAGGGACACGGAAUUCCGGGUGUAGUGGUGAAAUGCGUAGAUAUCCGGAGGAACACCAAAGGCGAAGGCAGUGUCCUGGCUGGUACCUGACGCUCAGGUGCGAAAGCUAGGGGAGCGAACGGG